UUGCAACACCACAACACCUCCAAGUCCAAAUUUCACUACCAACCUUACAUGCAAUGAAUAGAAUCAACUCAUCUUCAUAACCUUAACCCUCUUAUUUAAGUUCAUUUUCAAUUUGUUGGUGAAAUCUUAUCAUUACAAUCCCAAAUUCCUCUAGCCAAAGAUCUGAAAUCUUGUAGCUUUUACUUGUUGGGUAUGAAUGCUCUUGCUUGGAUCAAUUGUGAUGUUUUGAGGAAUUCUCAUUUGAAGUGAGCAGAAAGAAGCAUACUACAUUCUCACUAGUCAAGAUCUAUUCAUAGUAAGUGCUUCCUUUUUCCACUCUUAAAACCUGUUAGAUAAAUAUUUACUUUGCUCCUUAAAAAAAUUUCACCUGUAUCAAUUUAAUUCAUGAAAAAGUAACAACUGAAAUACUCAAUCUAGUACCUAAAUAUUGUAAUUGUGGGUCAUUAUAGUCCUUGUUAGGGGGUAAAAUUGGUAAAUAUAAAAAAGUUUUUUAUUUUAAGUUUUUCAAUUUUUCAUCACACUGGUAAACACACAAUUUAAAUAUUUUAUUUGGUGUCAUGUCUUGAUAUGAUGAUUUUAUUUGAGAAUUGACGUUUUGUUUUGUUUCUGAAAUUCAUUAUUGAUUUAUUAAAUUUUAACAAUUAGUAAGUCACUUAAUUAAGUUAUGAAAACUUCAGUCAAAGGUAUGUUUGAGCAUUAUAGAUCAUUACUUCUUAUAAUUUAGUAAGUUGCCCAGAUCUAUUCAUAGUAAAUUGUUCCUUUUUAAUUUCCACUAUUAAAACAUGUUACAUAAAAUCAUUUGGUCUUUAAACGUAUGUACCAAUUUGAUUUU
This is a non-coding RNA of Lupinus albus (white lupine), 832 nucleotides long. The record is from the annotation of a GenBank genome assembly. NCBI's taxonomy places the organism in Eukaryota, Viridiplantae, Streptophyta, Magnoliopsida, Fabales, Fabaceae.